AACGAACGCUGGCGGCGCGCCUAACACAUGCAAGUCGAACGCACCCUUUUGGGUGAGUGGCGGACGGGUGAGUAGCGCGUGGGAACCUGCCCCGAGCACCGGGACAACCGCGGGAAACUG
This 120-nucleotide ribosomal RNA is filed under the name uncultured bacterium. RNAcentral's name for it is "partial 16S ribosomal RNA". It matches the Rfam family "Bacterial small subunit ribosomal RNA", at positions 29 to 159 of the family's 1533-position model. The record is from RNAcentral.